Non-coding RNA from Penaeus vannamei (Pacific white shrimp), 435 nucleotides. Lineage: Eukaryota; Metazoa; Arthropoda; Malacostraca; Decapoda; Penaeidae. The record is from RefSeq and is a predicted model, not a curated record.
AUCCCGUAGGAUCUACUACACCUUUCUGUCCCCCUUUCCUAACUCUGCCGGCGUUAGUGCUCUGCCCAGGCGAGCACCGAACAGAAAGUUAAAAGGGGCUUCAUGAAACCCGGUUCCUGUCCUCCUGUCACGACGAAACAGCUUGUACUAGGCGGCCUCAAAAAUCUGAAUUGCCACAAGGAUAUGGAUUGUGAUCUCAUUGAAAAAUGUUGCUUGGUUCCUGGUGGGUUAUCUUGUGUUCAGCCAAAGUUCUGAUCGGAUAACUGAGAAAGUCAAGGUUAAAUGACAGUUCCAGAAGAUUCGAUUGCCUCGGAGAUAACCAUGGUUCAGAAUGAGCACACACAGUGGCCGCAGCCUUGUUUCCAGAAGACUGUGUCGAUUUAUAAAUUGAUUUGCUGUCUGUGAUGGUAGAGAUUGUUGAUCCUUCAGAAUAAA